Molecule: non-coding RNA, 121 nt
Filed under: Pseudo-nitzschia pungens
Lineage: Eukaryota; Bacillariophyta; Bacillariophyceae; Bacillariales; Bacillariaceae
Source: RNAcentral
UAUGAAUUCACGAGAGAAAGGGAAGGAAUGGAAGAUGGAAAUAUCCGCACUUUUUGUGUGUUUUUGGUGUAUUGUGCAACAUGAAUUUAUUUUAUUUUCGGCAUCAUUGCUGUUUUCUUUC